CGCCUACGGGAGGCAGCAGUUAAGAAUCUUGCGCAAUGGGGGGAACCCUGACGCAGCGACGCCGCGUGGAUGAUGAAGGCCUUCGGGUUGUAAAGUCCAGUAAGCAGGGAAGAAUAAGCGUGGGGUAAUAUUCCACGUGAUGACGGUACCUGCCUAAAGCCCCGGCUAACUACGUGCCAGCAGCCGCGGUAAUACGUAUGGGGCGAGCGUUGUUCGGAAUUAUUGGGCGUAAAGGGCGUCUAGGCGGGAGAUUAAGUUAGAUGUGAAAGCCAUGGGCUCAACCCAUGAAUAGCAUCUAAGACUGGUUUUCUUGAGUUCGGGAGAGGAGAGCUGAAUUCCUGGUGUAGCGGUGAAAUGCGUAGAUAUCAGGAAGAACACCGGUGGCGAAGGCGGCUCUCUGGCCUAGGACUGACGCUGAAGCGCGAAAGCGUGGGGAGCAAACAGGAUUAGAUACCCCUGUAGUCG
Molecule: ribosomal RNA, 465 nt
Filed under: uncultured bacterium
Lineage: Bacteria
Description: bacterial SSU rRNA
Rfam family: Bacterial small subunit ribosomal RNA
Source: RNAcentral